AUCUUCAGUUGACCUCGUUUCUUUUUCCAUAGUUACUGAACAAAUGUGUUGGAGUUCCUGUUGGCUCAGCGGUAAUGAACCCGACUAGUAUCCAUGAGUACUCUGGUUUGAUCCCUGGCCUUGAUCACUGGAUUAAGGAUCCAGUGUUGCUGUGAGUUGCGGUGUAGGUCGAAGACACAGCUCAGAUCCUGUGUUGCUUCGGCUUUGAUGUAGGCCGGCAGCUGCAGCUCCAAAUUGAUCCCUAGCCCGGAAACUUCCGUAUGUUGAGGGUGUGGCCCAAAAAAGACCAAAAACAAAAAGAUGGACAAAUGUGGGUUGCACAGCAGUAUAGGCAAGUGCGCUUUUGUCUGGUUAUACUCACAGAGGGAUGAUCAGUAGGGUGAUGUCAGAUGUAAACAAAGUGCCAGCAGUGUUCCUUGAUGAGGGCAUUUGGUACAGCAGGACAACAGAACGCACGUAUUAGUGGAGGUAGAGAAUUUAGAUCCAAGCAGGUGAUAAUCCCACAGUUCUUUGAAGCAGUGUAGACAGUGGUUAAGAAUUGGGACCUUGGAGCCUGGCCUUGGGCAAGUUCUUUGACCACUGUGCCUCGGUCUCUUCAUUUAUAAAAUGCUGAUAAUACUUCCUCAUACGGCUGUUGAAGAUCAAAUUAGAUCGUUCAUGUAAAGUGUUUAAAAACAGAGCCUGACUAUAAUUUGUAUGUGUCAUGCUUUAGUCUUUUGUUACUGCUACCUCUUUUCUUCUUAAGGAGGUAGUGAAAAUUUCCAGGUUUGUGUCUACGUGCGUGUCCAGAACAGAGUAAUCAGGUUUGGAGAGGGUCUAGAGACUAUGAACAAUGGUUGAAGACACUGGAAUGUGUUCCUUAGUGUCAAAGCUCAGAGAUAGUGAUCAUGAACCGUAAAGUGAAGUACAGGUGGUUCCAGCCAGUCUGAAUCCUAAUAUAUUUCAUCCAGUCUGACAAGCGCUUCCUCUUACAGAGCUGUAGCUUGGUGUAAGAGAAAUCUCCACGAAUCCAGGAUUUAGUAGAGCUCUUUCCUGGUAUCAAUGCAAUCUUUAACCAAUAAUGUGAUCUGAGACAGUUAACCCCGUGGCUUCCCGUGGGGUGUGAUUUACCCCUCAGGGAACAUUUGGCCUCGUCAGGACAUAGCUUUGCUUGACACAGCUGGGCUGGAGAGAUGUGCUACUGUCACUUAAUGGGUAGAGGCCGGGGUUACUGCAAACAUCCUACCAUUCGCAGGACAGCCCUCCAACUAAGAGUUACCCUGUUCAAAUGUCGAUAGUGCUGAGGUUGAGAGCCUCUGGCUUAACUCUUCAGUGUACAUAUUUCUGUUUGUGAAAUUUGAAUACUGGUCUUUGCUUUCUCAAUAUCACAACUAGUUUUAAGAGUAUAUUGAUGAAAGGGCCUUUAAGAGCUAAUGUAUUCUGGAAUCUGCAGAUGUAUACAGUAUAUACAUUUUGUCAGCAGUGGCACAGUAACAUAUUUACUCUAUUCCAUGGAGAAAAAUAUUACAGUAGUUUGAGAGUCCAUUAAGCCUAUGCUUGAAUCUCAGCCCUACCAUUUUAACAUGCUGUGUGAUUUGGGAUGCCUUUCUUCAUCUGUGAAGAUAAAAUUCAUGUUUCAUAGAGUUUGGACUGGGGUAUAAGACUUACACACAUACUUUAUAUGUAGUUAACCAUUGUUUUUAAAAUUAACUUUUUGUUUUGUUUUCUUUGUGGGGUUUUUUUGAUAAUAGCAUUGAGUGGUGCUUAUUAAAAUGUAAGAUUUGGAAAGAAGUUGAAUAAAGAAGUUGGAUUUUAACAUUAAAAGUAAAAAAAAUGAAAACUUUUUGUUUUCAGGAUUUAGAAGAAGUAAAGGUCUUUGCAAAUGUUGCUUUGGCCUUGUAGGUAAGGACCCUACUAUGCACUAAGGUGAGAAGCACUUAUUAGAGGGAGAAGAUGUGUUACAUGGAAAACGAGAGUCAAUCUACUUUAUAUUAGUCUGGAACUAUAGAACUAGCCAGGAAUAUGGUUUCUAUGUUGGUAAAUUGCUCCACUACAAAACUUAUGUUUGUUCCUUUUUUUUUUUUUUUUUUUUUUUUUUGCUUUUUAGCCACAUUGUGGCAUAUGGAAGUUCCCAGGCUAGGGGUCGAAUUGGAGCUGUAGUUGACACAGCCACAGCCCACAGCAACCCAGGAUCCAAGCCAUGUCUGCUACCUACACCACAGCUCACAGCAAUGCCAAUCCUUAACCCACUGAGCAAGGCCAGGGAUUGAACCCGCAGUCUCCUGGUUCCUAGUCAGAUUCAUUAACCACUGCACCACAAUAGGAACUCCAUUAUGUUUCUUCUUAAGCAGUGAAAUUUGCUGUUUUUUCACCUUACUCUCUCCUUCCUUCCUUCCUUUCUUGUCUUUUUAAGGGCUGCACCCUCAGCCUAUGGAAUUCCCAGGCUAGGGGUUGAAUCAGAGCUGCAGCUGCCAACCCAUACCACAGCCACAGCAAUACCAGAUCCAAGCCGCAUCUGCAACCUACACCACAACUCAUGGCAACACCGCAUCCUUAACCCACUGAGCGAGGCCAGGGAUCGAACCUGUGUCCUCAUGGUUACUAGUCGGGUUCACUACUGCUGUGCCACUAUAGGUGCUCCUCACCUUACUCUUGCAAUUCUGGUUUCUGAAGUCAGCCACUGACUGGGCAGAUGUGUCAGCUUUGCAGUCUUAGUGAUUUUCUCUACCCUCUCAGCCGCCCCCAAAAGAUAAAGCAAAGCUUUCAUAUGAUCACUCUUCCUUUUACUUCCACUUGUGCACCAGCUGGGACCUAGGGGUUUAAAGUCCAUCCACAAAUCCCACUGUUUUUCCUACUGUUAUGGCAACCUAAAGCAGCAUGUAGCAUUAUCGUAAGAUCAGUUGAAAGUUAAUGUAUUUGACUUAUGAAUGUUUUUUUUUUUUUCUCGUAAGUCUUGGGUGGAAAGUUCCCUAAGUUGGUGCAACCAACCUGCCCUCUACUUUGUAAAGGCAGAACAUUUUGUAGCAAUGUUUAUCUUCCAAGGAGGUAGCUGUCAGAGACCCAGCAAUGAAAAGUUCCCUGAUUCAGAAAGAGGCGCUUACUCAAGUUGGAGGAUGGAAUUAGUGAUUUUUUUUUAAAAAGAGAGGUUACUCCUGGAGUUCCCGUCGUGGCUCAGUGGUUAAUGAAUACAGGAGGUUGCAGGUUCAAUCCCUGGCCUUGCUCAGUGGGCUAAGGAUCCAGCGUUGCCAUGAGCUGUGGUGUGGGUUGCAGACGAGGCUCGGAUCCCGCAUUGCUGUGGCUCUGGUGUAGGCCGGCGGCUACAGCUCCGAUUAGACCCCUAGCCUGGGAACCUCCAUAUGCCACAGGAGUGGCCCUAGAAAAG
This 3361-nucleotide long non-coding RNA is filed under the name Sus scrofa (pig). RNAcentral's name for it is "lncRNA (ENSSSCG00000058917.1)". The record is from RNAcentral. Lineage: Eukaryota; Metazoa; Chordata; Mammalia; Artiodactyla; Suidae.